AGACGGGGGGUGCUAGCGUUGUUCGGAAUUACUGGGCGUAAAGGGCGCGUAGGCGGCUCUGCGAGUCGGGCGUGAGAUCCCGGGGCUCAACCCCGGAACGGCGCUCGAUACUGCGGGGCUGGAGACCGGAAGAGGAGGGUGGAAUUCCCAGUGUAGAGGUGAAAUUCGUAGAUAUUGGGAGGAACACCGGUGGCGAAAGCGGCUCUCUGGUCCGGUUCUGACGCUGAGGCGCGAAAGCGUGGGGAGCAAACAGGAUUAGAAACCCUAGUAGUCC
This 274-nucleotide ribosomal RNA is filed under the name uncultured bacterium. Its description in RNAcentral is "partial 16S ribosomal RNA". It matches the Rfam family "Bacterial small subunit ribosomal RNA", at positions 523 to 796 of the family's 1533-position model. The record is from RNAcentral.